Molecule: non-coding RNA, 81 nt
Organism: Mycena crocata
Lineage: Eukaryota; Fungi; Basidiomycota; Agaricomycetes; Agaricales; Mycenaceae
Source: the annotation of a GenBank genome assembly
GGCCUUGUGGUGUAAUGGUUAUCACUUCAGAUUCUGAAUUUGAGAUUUCUGGCGACCCUGGUUCGAUUCCAGGCAAGGCCU